RNAcentral lists this ribosomal RNA (640 nucleotides) under uncultured bacterium. RNAcentral describes it as "bacterial SSU rRNA". It matches the Rfam family "Bacterial small subunit ribosomal RNA", at positions 338 to 995 of the family's 1533-position model. The record is from RNAcentral.
CCUACGGGAGGCAGCAGUGGGGAAUAUUGGACAAUGGGCGAAAGCCUGAUCCAGCCAUGCCGCGUGUGUGAUGAAGGCCCUAGGGUUGUAAAGCUCUUUCACCGGUGAAGAUAAUGACGGUAACCGGAGAAGAAGCCCCGGCUAACUUCGUGCCAGCAGCCGCGGUAAUACGAAGGGGGCUAGCGUUGUUCGGAAUUACUGGGCGUAAAGCGCACGUAGGCGGAUCGUUAAGUGAGGGGUGAAAUCCCAGGGCUCAACCCUGGAACUGCCUCCAAAACUGGCAAGCUAGAGUAUGGCAGAGGGUGGUGGAAUUUCCUGUGUAGCGGCGAAAUGCGUAGAUAUAGGAAGGAACACCAGUGGCGAAGGCGACCACCUGGGCUAAUACUGACACUGAGGUGCGAAAGCGUGUGGAGCAAACAGGAUUAGAUACCCUGGUAGUCCACGCCGUAGACGAUGUCGACUAGCCGUUGGGAUCCUUGAGAUCUUAGUGGCGCAGCUAACGCAUUAAGUCGACCGCCUGGGGAGUACGGGCCGCAGGGUAAAACUCAAAUGAAUUGACGGGGGCCCGCACAAGCGGUGGAGCAUGUGGUUUAAUUCGAAGCAACGCGAAGAACCUUACCAGGCCUUGACAUGCAGAGAA